Non-coding RNA from Xenopus tropicalis (tropical clawed frog), 133 nucleotides. The record is from Ensembl. Lineage: Eukaryota; Metazoa; Chordata; Amphibia; Anura; Pipidae.
GUGGCAGACUUGUGCCUGUUGCAUUAACCAGUGAUUUAAUGUGACUUCAUGCUGCCACAUAAAUCAAAAGCAGUGGUUCCUGCCGACAGGGUCUGUCCAGACAUCGGCUCCCUGUGCGAUGGCUCCAUACAAG